UGCGGUUCCACUGGGGAUCCUGGGUCAGUGGCCCAACACCUUUCAAACUCCAGUCUACACCGGUGGCGGCUACUGGAGAAGCUGAUCUGCGAUGCGGGAGGCAGGAGGAGCACCGGAGCCCAGCAAGGAGCCACAUCCAGGAGAUGGGAGGUGUCAACAUGAGCUCACAUGGCCAGCUGUGAGGGACAGAGAUGUCCCCAGGAGUCCCCUCUUCAUCAGCCGAGGAAAACCCCUCUGUGAAAUAAAC
RNAcentral lists this long non-coding RNA (247 nucleotides) under Cavia porcellus (domestic guinea pig). Its description in RNAcentral is "lncRNA (ENSCPOG00000030603.1)". The record is from RNAcentral. Lineage: Eukaryota; Metazoa; Chordata; Mammalia; Rodentia; Caviidae.